GCUGGCUUAGCUCAGUUGGUAGAGCAGCUGUUUUGUAAACAGCAGGUCAUCGGUUCAAAUCCGGUCGCCAGCUCCA
Molecule: transfer RNA, 76 nt
Filed under: Bdellovibrionales bacterium
Lineage: Bacteria; Pseudomonadati; Bdellovibrionota; Bdellovibrionia; Bdellovibrionales
Also listed under: 1 other name
Description: tRNA-Thr
Rfam family: tRNA
About the family: Transfer RNA (tRNA) molecules are approximately 80 nucleotides in length.
Source: RNAcentral